CCUACGGGUGGCAGCAGUGAGGAAUAUUGGUCAAUGGACGGAAGUCUGAACCAGCCAUGCCGCGUGCAGGAAGACGGCUCUAUGAGUUGUAAACUGCUUUUGUACAAGGGUAAACCUGAACACGUGUAUUCAGCUGAGAGAACUGUAAGAAUAAGGAACGGCUAACUACGGGCCAGCAGCCGCGGUAAUACGGAGGAUCCAAGCGUUAUCCGGAUUUAUUGGGUUUAAAGGGUGUGUAGGAGGAUUGAUAAGUUAGAGGUGAAAUGUCCGGGCUUAACUCGGGAACUGCCUCUAAUACUGUUGAUCUAGAGAGUAGAUGCGGUAGGCGGAAUGUAUGGUGUAGCGGUGAAAUGCUUAGAGAUCAUACAGAACACCGAUUGCGAAGGCAGAUUACCAAUCUAUAACUGACGUUGAGGCACGAAAGCGUGGGGAGCAAACAGGAUUAGAUACCCUAGUAGUC
Molecule: ribosomal RNA, 460 nt
Filed under: uncultured bacterium
Lineage: Bacteria
Description: partial 16S ribosomal RNA
Rfam family: Bacterial small subunit ribosomal RNA
Source: RNAcentral